Molecule: ribosomal RNA, 157 nt
Filed under: uncultured bacterium
Lineage: Bacteria
Description: partial 16S ribosomal RNA
Rfam family: Bacterial small subunit ribosomal RNA
Source: RNAcentral
UGGGGAAUUGUUCGCAAUGGGCGCAAGCCUGACCCAGCAACGCCGCGUGAAGGAUGAAAUCCCUCGGGAUGUAAACUUCGCAAGAACGGGAAGAAUAAGUAAGGGUUAAUAUCUCUUACGAUGACGGUACUGUUUGUAAGCUCCGGCUAACUCCGUG